AAGCACACCUCCACAAUCAUCCUGUGACAAAUUAUUCCAUCAAUAUUUGGAGCUGCCUUCCCACCAGCCUGGCUCCCUGGGACAAGAGGAUGAACUCCACACACCAGACAACAGACCAGUCCAAAACCAGGGUACUGCCUCACAUUUCCAGACAAUCUGCUGUCUUCCAGCUGUGCUUGCUCAAUUCUGCCUCAUUCUGGGAGCCCUGGUGUCACCACAGUGAAUAGGAUGGGUUCAGUGGAGAUGAGACUGCGCCAAGCCAGCUUCGCCCACAGCAUACCAAUGAGUGCCCUGGGAAGGCAUUAAUAAUGCAGAGCACACUAGGGUAGCCAGCCCGGCGAGGCCCUGUACGCACAUCAACGGAGGCAGCCGGGACUCACACGACUGAAUGUGUCUGCACAGGCUGACUGUCUGCGAGGCUGCCUGGUCUCCUAAUCGCCAGUCUCCUUUCCCGUCACCCUCAAGGGC
Long non-coding RNA from Bos taurus (domestic cattle), 468 nucleotides. The record is from Ensembl. Lineage: Eukaryota; Metazoa; Chordata; Mammalia; Artiodactyla; Bovidae.